RNAcentral lists this ribosomal RNA (450 nucleotides) under uncultured Glomeromycotina. Its description in RNAcentral is "SSU rRNA". It matches the Rfam family "Eukaryotic small subunit ribosomal RNA", at positions 569 to 1025 of the family's 1831-position model. The record is from RNAcentral. Lineage: Eukaryota; Fungi; Glomeromycota.
AGCAGCCGCGGUAAUUCCAGCUCCAAUAGCGUAUAUUAAAGUUGUUGCAGUUAAAAAGCUCGUAGUUGAAUUUCGGAAUCAGUACGCCGGUCGUGCCUUAGGUAUGCACUGGUGUCACUGGUUUCUCCCUUCUGACGAACCGUCAUGCCAUUAAUUUAGUGUGGCGGGAAAUCAGGACCGUUACUUUGAAAAAUUAGAGUGUUUAAAGCAGGCUCACGCUUGAAUACAUUAGCAUGGAAUAAUGAAAUAGGACGUUGAUCUUAUUUUGUUGGUUUCUAGGAUUGACGUAAUGAUUAAUAGGGAUAGUUGGGGGCAUUAGUAUUCAAUUGUCAGAGGUGAAAUUCUUGGAUUUAUUGAAGACUAACUACUGCGAAAGCAUUUGCCAAGGAUGUUUUCAUUAAUCGAGAAUGAAAGUUAGGGGAUCGAAGACGAUCAGAUACCGUCGUAGUC